CUUCUCUCUUCAAAUGAGUUUGCUUUUCAUGUUUUUACCCCAAAUCCCGAUAUCUCUGGAACAAGUGCUGUUUAUAUGCGAUGAGUACUAAACCGUGUCUACUCUGGCUCGGUUCUAAGAUUUCGGUGUGAUUCAUUUUGGAAAUAUUUGUUCCCUCGUUGUUCAGCAAACCAGUAGGGAUAUUAUUGCAUUGUGGAAGGGGAGACCGAUAGGGAGUAGCCAUACUGUAGAAAUCAACAAAUCUCUUUUAUUGGGCAAGUGGGACACAAGAACCACCACCACAGCAGCAGCAGCAGCAGCAACAACAGCAGGAACAACACAACAACAACAACAACAACACAAAUGAGAUUGUCGAUCACAUAUUUGGAAACAAGCAUACAAGCAUUUGUUCUGAAUAAUCAAUUUCGCGGAGGUAGAUUUAACCUUAGUAAAUUUGGCUUGAUUUAUUUGACACUUGUAUGUUAUUUGUCACAAUCUCAAUAGUCGUUCGCCUCGCAAUUUCCUCACUACCAUCUCCACGUCUGUGUAAAUUUCACGAACGAUAGCUUGAAAUAAGUCCAUUCAAUUUGUGCGGAAAAAUUUUCAAUUAUUUCGUCUUAGUUUUCAUUUGACAAAUAAUUAUCAAUGCCUGCAGAGUUUUGUACUUACAAUCGAAAUGUUAGUCUUGCUUUAAUUUGUUUCCACAAUUGUACAUACGAAUUCAACCGAGCUGUGAAAGACUUCAAUCCGGGUCUGCAAGCAUUUUCUUUUUAUUGUGCAAAAAUGCAUUUGAAAUAGAUAUAUCGUAACGGAAAUCCUAUGACAAUGAAAGAAAUACGGCGAUGCUGACUUUUAUGAGCAAGGAUCUGGCUGAUUCAUCAAGAACAACGAAUAUGGCCAAGAGAUGUCAGGGAACUACCAGUUUUGGCUGAUAACACUCAGUACCUAAAAAACAUCAGAAAGGCAUAAUUGCUACUCGCUAUCAUAUGCUAGGUAGAAAACACGAGAUGGCUGCCCAAAGCAACACAGCUCUUUCCAACGAUGGUUUUGACUGCGGCAGUUGUAGCGACAAAGAAGUUCAAAAAAUUGGGAAUGCAAAUGGUUCGAUUCAUCUGGUACCUCCAAGUUAUCUCUAUAAUACAGGAUCUGGCCAGACUACAAGGGAUCUAGACCAAGAGCAUAACAACCAAGAUCGUGCAUCUGAGGAUGAAUUAGGACCCCUUCCAUCCAAUUGGGAGAAAGCCUACACUGACACUGGAGAAGUAUAUUUUAUCGAUCAUAACAGCGGCACGUCGCACUGGCUUGAUCCAAGGUUGUCCAAAUUUCAAAAACGUUCCCUAGAAGAAUGUUUAGAUGACGAGCUACCUUAUGGGUGGGAAAAAAUAGAUGAUACUUUGUACGGAACCUACUUUAUCGACCAUGUGAAUCGGCGAACCCAAUACGAGAACCCAGUACUCCAAGCCAAACGGGCUCAGCAGGGCGUGACAGACUGUAAAAGUUCAGUAUUCACUAGAAACCCUGAUAAAUUAAAGGGGCUAAGAAUACGUAGUACGCUGCUGAAAGGUACCAGAGGACUGGGUUUCACUAUUGUCGGUGGAGAUGACACUAUUGAAGAAUUCCUUCAGAUAAAAAGUGUCGUGCCAAACGGACCAGCCUGGAUAGAUGGAAAGCUGCAGACUGGCGAUGUUCUUGUUUAUGUUAAUGAAACCUGUGUUCUUGGAUAUACUCACAACGAAAUGGUAAACGUGUUCAAAUCUAUUUCGAGUGGGGAGACUGUCACUAUCGAGGUAUGCCGUGGCUACCCACUGCCCUUUGAUCCAAACGAUCCCAAUACUGAAGUGGUGACCACAAUAGCAGUCAAUGCUCCAGAUGUACCGAUUGAGGAUCCAACACUUUACAUGGACAUUAAUCCUAGUAUGCAUUCUAAUGAUCGUUUCAACUAUGUCGACGGAAACCUGUUACCAGUACAUAAGAUAUCGAACAGUGAAAAUCUGGCAACCACAUCCGUCAAUUCUAUGCCUGAUCUCUGUAUUUCUGAUAAAGUUACAACCAUAAAGCGGCCAAAUAGUACAGACAUACUACUGGGAGAAAGUGUGAAUGAGGACAAUGGCGAUGAAUAUAUGGUGGGACGAGAUGUACAGCAGGAAAAUAAUGAGGGGGAUGAAGAAGUCGGAGAAGACGAAUCUAGACCUUACAAGGAACGACAACAGCCUCCGGUAACACCUGCCAAGCCCGAGUUUCUUAGCAUAUUGAUUGUAAAAGGUACAAUGGGGUUCGGUUUCACGAUAGCAGACUCGGCACAUGGACAGAAAGUGAAAAAGAUCUUGGACCGGCAGCGCUGUAAAAAUUUGAUGGAAGGUGAUAUAUUGGUUGAUAUAAAUGUGACAAAUGUAAGAAACAUGUGCCAUUCAGAGGUUGUGCAAGUGCUCAAGGAUUGCCCAAGGAACAAAGAAGCCCUUAUCCAUGUCCAGAGAACCCACAGGAUUAAGGAUAAGAAGGAGAGAAAUUCGGCAGAACUAUUCAGGAGCAAAACACCGACUGCUGACCUCUAUAGUACGCUAUCAAAGACCAUUCUGCCAAGUAGGCCAAAGACUCCGUUAGUUGAUACAAGAACGACGGGGCAUAGGCCAAAGACUCCCACCACUGCCAGCACCGAAAUAGACAACUUGGGCUGGUCCACCGAGACUCGGGUGGAUUCCAAUUCCAUAAAUGGUCACCGUUAUAGAUACGCAGACUUAAGUGAGCCUGUGAACUACAAGGACACGCUGUACAGGGGGAAUUUAACCAUGCACUUACCCGAGACCUUUGCUGCUCUUGCCAAAUUGGAUGAUGAACCAGGUAGAAGUUCGGACAAGCCAUGUUGGGGCGCCACGAAAGAGGAUAGCCAAAUUGACAAAGGUGGAUCAAGGACUGAUGUAUACUCUGUCGAUAUUCCUCGUCUCGAUGGAUCACUGCACAAGCAGAAUGGUGGACGAAUUGUAGAAUACAAUUACGAAGAGCCGUACCUGGUGCAAUCGCAACGACAAUACACAGAACAACAGUUUGAUUACCAUCCCUAUGGCAUUGGCCAAGAACAAAAUGUUGACACUGGCGAGAUUUGGGAAAAGCGUAAGGAGACAACGAGCUUUGAGCACGAACAACCACACUCAGGUCCCCUUGCCAGGUACCACCAGCAAUACGGGAGUGAAUUACUUUGCCCUGUAACACCAGGUAUCGAAUGGGUCGAAAUGCUGGUUACACUCGUGCGACAAAAUACUGGAUUUGGUUUUCGAAUAGUCGGGGGUACAGAGGAAGGAUCACAGCAGGUUUCGGUUGGACAUAUCGUCCCAGGUGGAGCCGCUGACCUAGACAAUCGAUUGAUAACAGGUGACUUGAUAAUGUCAGUAGACGGGGAGAGUGUAAUGAAUUCUUCGCAUCAUCACGUUGUUCAACUCAUGAUAGCGGCAGCGCAGAAUGGCCGAGUAACACUCGGUAUUCGACGUCGCAUCAACGUUCAGGAGACCCUCCAUAUGUCCUAUGAUCGUCACCAAAAUGUACAAUAUCCAUACGACAUAACUGUGUCGCGCCUGGAGAACGAGGGUUUUGGAUUCGUUAUUAUAUCCUCACUGAACAAGGCUGGGUCGACAAUUGGAAGGAUUAUUGAAGAAUCACCCGCGGAAAGAUGCGGCCAAUUGAAUGUUGGGGAUCACAUUCUAGCAGUUAAUCAUGUCGACAUCACUAACGUAUGCCAUAAGGACAUAGUCAAUCUGAUAAAAGACUCGGGUUACUCUGUGACACUGACAAUAGGUUAUCCCUUGGAUGAUUGUUGCAGUACUAUGUCGUUAUCACAAAAAAAGAUUUCGGCUAAUGUGUGUAUUAUUGUAUGACGCAUAACAAAACGGGUAUGAACGAACACUUGACAUGCCAUGUCAUACCGUAAAUGUCUCUUGAAAGGGCCCCUUCUGAGCCAUGCAAGCAAUACCCUACGCCAACACUAGCACAACUGUUAUCUGAGCUUAGCAUAGCGGACAAAUGCUGCAAACCAAAAGUUGUGCAUGCGUUAGCGGAGAGAGCGACCACAUGGCUCUUUCAAGAAACAUUCACAGAUGAAACAGCCGGAGAUGGUGAUGGCGGACAAUACCAUGCUGUCGAGUUGACAAGGGGUACUCGAGGGUUUGGAUUUAGUAUCCGAGGUGGACGAGAAUUC
Molecule: unclassified non-coding RNA, 4165 nt
Filed under: Neodiprion pinetum (white pine sawfly)
Lineage: Eukaryota; Metazoa; Arthropoda; Insecta; Hymenoptera; Diprionidae
Description: membrane-associated guanylate kinase, WW and PDZ domain-containing protein 1-like, transcript variant X1
Source: RNAcentral